Molecule: ribosomal RNA, 1104 nt
Filed under: Triticum aestivum (bread wheat)
Lineage: Eukaryota; Viridiplantae; Streptophyta; Magnoliopsida; Poales; Poaceae
Description: partial small subunit ribosomal RNA
Source: RNAcentral
AUGAGCUCCACGCGCUCACUGCUUCACCUCAUCCUGCUACUACUCGCAUACUACUACUCCACCCACACCACUGCCAACGGCGGCAAUGGAACCACAACCCAGUGCCUCCCUGACCAUUCUUCGUCUCUGCUCCAGCUGAAGCAUUCCUUCCACAACCCCAAACUCCCGUCGUGGCAGCAUGGCACAGACUGUUGCCACUGGGAGGGUGUUGGCUGCGACAGGGCCUCUGGUCAGGUGAUCACUUUGGACCUCGGUGAUCGUAACCUGCGGAGCACCAGUGGUCUCAGCCCAGCAAUAUUCAACCUCACCUCCCUCACAAAUCUCAGCCUCUCUGGUAACGACUUUGGCCUGACCAGCCUUCCUGGUUUUGGGUUUGAGCGGCUGAUUGAGCUUCUCAGUCUCGAUUUGUAUAAUGCGUGUUUUGCUGGUCAGAUACCUAUUGGAAUUGCCCACCUCAAGAAUUUGCGUUCCCUUGAUCUUUCCUAUAAUAAUCUGUAUCUUCAAGACCCAAGUUUCCAAACCGUCAUAGCAAACCUGAGCAAUCUGAGAGAGCUCUAUCUUGAUAGAGUGGGCAUCUUAAGUAGCAAAGCAAAUUGGUCCGUUGCUUUAGCAGACUCUGUUCCUCUACUACAGAAUAUUAGUUUGUCGGAGUGUGAACUAAGUAGUCCGAUUCACCAUUCAUUCUCCCGACUCCGUUUUCUAACGAUGAUCAACCUCGCAUAUAAUGAAAUUUCAGGACAGGUUCCUGGGUUCUUUGCGGAAUUCUCUUUCUUAAGAGACCUUGCCCUUGGGGAAAAUUAUUUUGAAGGGCAAUUUCCCACAAAGAUUUUCCAGCUAGAAAAUCUGAGUGUUCUUGAUUUGUCUAACAAUUUCGGUCUUACUGUGCACCUACCAGAUUUCUCAUCAGGAAGUAAUUUGGAAUAUUUAGAUCUGAGGGGUUCAAAUAUUUUCGGGGCCAUACCAGACCCUUUUGUCCAUCUCAAGUCCUUGAAAUUCUUGGGCCUUAGCAGCAUAGAACCUCCCGAGCAACCCACUACUUCCAUAGCUAACCUUACAUCCCUAAAUGGAUUGUGGCUCUCUGGAUCAGGAGUAGAGAAGCCAUAG